GAUGAACGCUAGCGGCAGGCCUAAUACAUGCAAGUCGAGGGAGAAUGUUGGAUUCGUCUGACAUGAAACCGGCGCACGGGUGCGUAACACGUAUGCAACCUACCUUUAACUGGGGUAUAGCUCAGAGAAAUCUGAAUUAAUCCCCCAUAAGACUACGACAUGGCAUCAUGAUGUAGUUAAAGCUCCGGCGGUUAAGGAUGGGCAUGCGGUACAUUAGCUAGUUGGUGAGGUAAUGGCUCACCAAGGCUACGAUGUAUAGGGGGUCUGAGAGGAUGAUCCCCCACACUGGUACUGAGACACGGACCAGACUCCUACGGGAGGCAGCAGUAGGGAAUAUUGGUCAAUGGACGAAAGUCUGAACCAGCCAUGCCGCGUGAAGGAUGAAGGCCCUAUGGGUCGUAAACUUCUUUUAUUAGGGAAGAAAAAUCGGGAUGCGUCCUGUACUGACGGUACUUAAUGAAUAAGGAUCGGCUAACUUCGUGCCAGCAGCCGCCGUAA
Molecule: ribosomal RNA, 498 nt
Filed under: uncultured bacterium
Lineage: Bacteria
Description: partial 16S ribosomal RNA
Rfam family: Bacterial small subunit ribosomal RNA
Source: RNAcentral